UACGGAGGGGGCUGGCGUUGUUCGGGAUUACGGGGCGUAAAGCGCACGUAGGCGGAUCAGGAAGUCAGAGGUGAAAUCCCAGGGCUCAACCUUGGAACUGCCUUUGAAACUCCUGAUCUUGAGGUCGAGAGAGGUGAGUGGAAUUCCGAGUGUAGAGGUGAAAUUCGUAGAUAUUCGGAGGAACACCAGUGGCGAAGGCGGCUCACUGGCUCGAUACUGACGCUGAGGUGCGAAAGCGUGUGGAGCAAACAGG
This 253-nucleotide ribosomal RNA is filed under the name uncultured bacterium. Its description in RNAcentral is "partial 16S ribosomal RNA". It matches the Rfam family "Bacterial small subunit ribosomal RNA", at positions 524 to 776 of the family's 1533-position model. The record is from RNAcentral.